ACCGCCGAUCGAGGUAAAUUUCAUACCCUCGACUCGUUUUUCUCCGCUGAUUCCUCCUAUGGCCAAAUUGAGGCUGAAAUCCCGGCCAAACGGCCGGAAUACGCGGCCGAAACCCAGCGGCGCCGCCGCGCCCCUCUCAGUUUUUGCCUCCGACGAGGUCCUUCCCGGCCUCCGUUCGAUGCAAUUUUUAUAUCACCGUGAUCACCAUUCUUUUCUCUACAGGUUGACCGAAGCCGAAUCACCAAAACACGAACCUCGCCGGAGAGCCGCCGUACCCGAGAGCGCCGCCGCCGGUAAGCUCCGCUUUUCCGUGAUUU
Molecule: long non-coding RNA, 317 nt
Filed under: Carica papaya (papaya)
Lineage: Eukaryota; Viridiplantae; Streptophyta; Magnoliopsida; Brassicales; Caricaceae
Description: long non-coding RNA (CPAP_LNC002518)
Source: RNAcentral